Hippopotamus amphibius kiboko is the source of this 135-nucleotide small nucleolar RNA. RefSeq annotates it as small nucleolar RNA SNORA70. NCBI's taxonomy places the organism in Eukaryota, Metazoa, Chordata, Mammalia, Artiodactyla, Hippopotamidae. The record is from RefSeq and is a predicted model, not a curated record. The transcript has a single exon.
UCGCAGCCAAUUAAGCCAAUUGUGCUCUUUUCCCCAUGGGGGCCUGGUGUGCAAUGGCUACAAACAGCAGCCUCCUUGGUAGUGUAUGCAGCCUGUUGCCUGUAUGGGUUCCUCUAUGGGACCCUGGAGACAGCA